AACGAACGCUGGCGGCGUGGAUAAGACAUGCAAGUCGAACGGGACAACAUCUGUAGCAAUACAGGUGUUGUUUAGUGGCGAACGGGUGCGUAACACGUGGGCAAUCUGCCGAGAAGUGGAGGAUAGCUCGCCGAAAGGCGAAUUAAUACCGCAUACGAUCAGCUAAGACAUCUUAGCGACAUCAAAGCCGGGGUAACCUGGCGCUACUCGAUGAGCCCGCGGCCUAUCAGCUAGUUGGUGAGGUAACGGCUCACCAAGGCUGUGACGGGUAGCUGGUCUGAGAGGACGACCAGCCACACUGGAACUGAGACACGGUCCAGACACCUACGGGU
RNAcentral lists this ribosomal RNA (332 nucleotides) under uncultured bacterium. Its description in RNAcentral is "bacterial SSU rRNA". It matches the Rfam family "Bacterial small subunit ribosomal RNA", at positions 29 to 346 of the family's 1533-position model. The record is from RNAcentral.